UACGAGAGGUGCAAGCGUUGUCCGGAUUUAUUGGGCGUAAAGCGUUUCUAAAUGCUCUUUUGUAAGUUAUCUUUUAAAGACCGAAGCUCAACUUCGGGAAGGGAGAUAAUACUGCACGAGUCGAGAUAUUUCGGGGUUACUAGAACUAUUGGUGUAGGGGUGAAAUCCGUUGAUAUCAAUAGGAAUUCCAAGGGCGAAGGCAGGUAACUAGGAAUUUUCUGACGCUGAUGAACGAAAGCUAGGGGAGCGAAAGGG
RNAcentral lists this ribosomal RNA (255 nucleotides) under uncultured bacterium. RNAcentral describes it as "partial 16S ribosomal RNA". It matches the Rfam family "Bacterial small subunit ribosomal RNA", at positions 524 to 776 of the family's 1533-position model. The record is from RNAcentral.